UACGUAGGGUGCGAGCGUUGUCCGGAUUUAUUGGGCGUAAAGAGCUCGUAGGCGGCCUGUCGCGUCGACCGUGAAAACCCGCAGCUCAACUGCGGGCUUGCGGUCGAUACGGGCAGGCUGGAGUUCGGUAGGGGAGACUGGAAUUCCUGGUGUAGCGGUGAAAUGCGCAGAUAUCAGGAGGAACACCGGUGGCGAAGGCGGGUCUCUGGGCCGAUACUGACGCUGAGGAGCGAAAGCGUGGGGAGCGAACAGG
This 253-nucleotide ribosomal RNA is filed under the name uncultured bacterium. RNAcentral describes it as "partial 16S ribosomal RNA". It matches the Rfam family "Bacterial small subunit ribosomal RNA", at positions 524 to 776 of the family's 1533-position model. The record is from RNAcentral.